RNAcentral lists this long non-coding RNA (247 nucleotides) under Mytilus galloprovincialis (Mediterranean mussel). Lineage: Eukaryota; Metazoa; Mollusca; Bivalvia; Mytilida; Mytilidae. The record is from RNAcentral.
CAGUGGCGUAGCCAGGGUUGAUAUGAUGUGGAUGUUUCGCCAAGUGGAGCGAGGCGAAAAAUAUUUUGACCUUUUUAUGCAGAAAAUUAUUUUUUAUUUAAGCACAUGUACUCCCCCAGAAUCCGACACUAGUUAGAUUUUUGUUUAAAUUCAAAAUACCCACGGGCACCAGUUCAUAUAUUUUUAUUGUUAACCAAAUUUUAUUGUUUCCUUGAAACUACCAUCAUUCAAUUCAUAAACAUUAAAG